RNAcentral lists this long non-coding RNA (1498 nucleotides) under Chrysemys picta bellii (western painted turtle). RNAcentral's name for it is "lncRNA (ENSCPBG00000011912.1)". Lineage: Eukaryota; Metazoa; Chordata; Testudines; Emydidae. The record is from RNAcentral.
AUCCGGGUCCUUCCCACUUGGGCCAAGGGUGGGCUCUGAGGGGAGGGAGCCUGGCGUCACUUGGCCAAUGGGGGCGGGGAGAGGCGUCAAGUCAACCCCCCCUCAGCGCGUGCGCCCCACCACCCCUAGGGGUCUCUGGUGGGGGGGGCUGAUGUGGGAGAUGUCAAAUCACUCCCUCCCCCCAUCAUGCCCACCCUUGGGGGGUGACGUCAGCUCACUCCCCCUCCAGCAUGUGACCCCUCACCCCAGGUGGGUGAUGUCAUCCCCUCCUUGGUGAUGUCAUCUCUUAUUGGAGGGGUGACAUCACCCCCUGUCCUUGGCCAUGGGAAGAGUAGGGUGUAGUGAUUAGAGUGGGGGUGUGGGAGCAGGCUGGGAGCCAGGACUCCUGGGUUCCAUCCCUAACUCUGGGAGGGAAGUGGUGUCUAGUGGGUUAGAGUGGGGGAGGGGGGCUCUCGGAGGCAAGUGGGGCAGGAGAUCAGGCAUCAUCAGGAACCGUCCCUCCUUUCUGCUCAGUCCCCCUCUCUAACGCAGGGACAGGAAAUCCUCAAGCAGCGGCAUUUCAUUGCCUACGGUCCAGAGAUGAAGGACCUUGCCCUCAUGACCUGCUACAUCAUGUGAGGCUCCAAGGGCUAGCCCCAAGAGCUGGGGCUGGCUGUUCGUCAAAAGGCUUUGAAUGCUCUUGGGAGAAACCAGAGAUUCACGAGGCACCCGGGAUUGAUGUGAUCGCCUGCGGCCUUGACUCAUCACUGCUCAUCUCUGUUGGAGCACGGAGACUUGACGGGGGCUGUCGGGUCGAAUCAGCAGCAGAUAGGCAGAGGUGUCCCUUCCUGGAGAUCUCUGAACACCUGUCACCAUGAGGCCUGGUGGCUGAUCAUUUUGGAGGCUGGCAUCCCAACAGCUUGUCUGGUCCUGACAUCUUCAGCCCCUGAAAUGCCUACGUGUCUGGCUCUUCCACUCUCCACCUCUCUCUGCCAUAUAAAAUGCCAGCGAUGCCACUGACCUACCUACCAGCAGAUACUGUAAAUAUCUCUGGUGGAAAGUCCUGUACAGGCAAAAUCUGAGCCUCAAGUAUUAACGGAUUCAGACAGCAAGGUUAAGUCUGUGUACUAAUGAACUAGUUAAAAAUACCCCUCAAACCCAUGACCUCUUUCUCUGCGACUCCCAAUGAAAAGCCUAUUGCUGUGGUGGUGUUGCCAAAUUAUCUGCCAACCCUUAUCCUUUACCAUUGCGCAAGUUAGCAGCCCGAUCUGCAGGCAGAAUUCCUGUCUGGCCCCAGUUCCGGAGUGCUGCAUGUGACUAUAUUGCAUGAGGCGAGGGUUUCAGAUAAAGAGGCUGGCUUCUUGGUGCUCUCUGCUAUUGUAGCAUUUCUGUGAAAUGAAUUUAAAUAUUGAAGGGUUGGAAAUAGAGAAUGUCUGCAUCUGUUGUCUUUAAUAUUUGACUACUGUAACUUAUAUUUAAUUUUAAUAAAACCUGAGAUGUCAACGUUUAUUAGGUUGCC